ACUCCUACGGGAGGCAGCAGUAGGGAAUCUUCCACAAUGGACGAAAGUCUGAUGGAGCAACGCCGCGUGCAGGCUGACCCUCCUAUGCAUUGUAAACUGCUUUUGUAAGGGAAGAAACCCUCCGGGAGUAACUGCCCGUACCUUGACGGUACCUCAUCAGAAAGCCACGGCUAACUACGUGCCAGCAGCCGCGGUAAU
This 198-nucleotide ribosomal RNA is filed under the name uncultured Sporosarcina sp. Its description in RNAcentral is "partial 16S ribosomal RNA". It matches the Rfam family "Bacterial small subunit ribosomal RNA", at positions 335 to 524 of the family's 1533-position model. Lineage: Bacteria; Bacillati; Bacillota; Bacilli; Caryophanales; Caryophanaceae. The record is from RNAcentral.